Molecule: long non-coding RNA, 585 nt
Organism: Bradysia coprophila
Lineage: Eukaryota; Metazoa; Arthropoda; Insecta; Diptera; Sciaridae
Source: RefSeq, a predicted model, not a curated record
CUGCCCAUGCAAGACCAAUUCUACGUUUUAUUUCUGCAGUUUGUCAUCGUCAAUGUUUGUCAUGAUUUUCGUUUUCGACAAAUUCAUCUUGAGACCGACUUUGUUUGACUCCUCAUUCAACUGUUGUAACAUAAUUUCCGCCUGAUCUAGAUCAGCUGCCAUCAGGGAGAUGUCAUCUGAGUAACGGAGAUUACUCAGAAUCGAUGUGAAUAACUUAGGUGAUAUGGUGUCACCCUGUCGUACACCUCUGCCAGUUCUGAAUUUUUCCGUGCUUUUAUGGAGUUUUAUACACGACGUAGCGUUUUUAUAGACGUAUCGAAUUGCGUUGGAGUACCUUGAGUCUACUCUGCACUCGUCUAAUGAGUCCAAUAUCAACUAUAUUUCCACUGAAUCAAAAGCUUUUUCAAAGUCAAUGAAUAUCAAGACCACAGCAAUCUUGCAUUCGUUGCAUUUCUCGAUUAGCGUUCUUAUCACAUGUAAGUGGUCGUUUGUGGUGAAUCCUGAUCUAAAUGCAGCUCGUUCAACAGAUUGGUAUAAGUCGAGCUUCUUGGUGUUCCUCUUUGUAACGAUUUUCAUGAACAACUU